RNAcentral lists this ribosomal RNA (893 nucleotides) under uncultured Bacteroidota bacterium. RNAcentral describes it as "bacterial SSU rRNA". It matches the Rfam family "Bacterial small subunit ribosomal RNA", at positions 11 to 896 of the family's 1533-position model. Lineage: Bacteria; Pseudomonadati; Bacteroidota. The record is from RNAcentral.
CUUUGAUCAUGGCUCAGGAUGAACGCUAGCUACAGGCUUAACACAUGCAAGUCGAGGGGCAGCGGGAUUGAAGCUUGCUUCAAUUGCCGGCGACCGGCGCACGGGUGAGUAACGCGUAUCCAACCUUCCGUACACUCAGGGAUAGCCUUUCGAAAGAAAGAUUAAUACCUGAUGGUAUGAUGAGAUUGCAUGAUAGCAUCAUUAAAGAUUUAUCGGUGUACGAUGGGGAUGCGUUCCAUUAGGUAGUAGGCGGGGUAACGGCCCACCUAGCCAACGAUGGAUAGGGGUUCUGAGAGGAAGGUCCCCCACAUUGGAACUGAGACACGGUCCAAACUCCUACGGGAGGCAGCAGUGAGGAAUAUUGGUCAAUGGACGAGAGUCUGAACCAGCCAAGUAGCGUGAAGGAUGAAGGUCCUACGGAUUGUAAACUUCUUUUAUAAGGGAAUAAACCCUCCCACGUGUGGGAGCUUGUAUGUACCUUAUGAAUAAGCAUCGGCUAACUCCGUGCCAGCAGCCGCGGUAAUACGGAGGAUGCGAGCGUUAUCCGGAUUUAUUGGGUUUAAAGGGAGCGCAGACGGGUCGUUAAGUCAGCUGUGAAAGUUUGGGGCUCAACCUUAAAAUUGCAGUUGAUACUGGCGUCCUUGAGUGCGGUUGAGGUGUGCGGAAUUUGUGGUGUAGCGGUGAAAUGCUUAGAUAUCACGAAGAACUCCGAUUGCGAAGGCAGCACACUAAGCCGUAACUGACGUUCAUGCUCGAAAGUGUGGGUAUCAAACAGGAUUAGAUACCCUGGUUGUCCACACGGUAAACGAUGGAUACUCGCUGUUGGCGAUAUACAGUCAGCGGCUUAGCGAAAGCGUUAAGUAUCCCACCUGGGGAGUACGCCGGCAACGGUG